This 434-nucleotide long non-coding RNA is filed under the name Helianthus annuus (common sunflower). The record is from RNAcentral. Lineage: Eukaryota; Viridiplantae; Streptophyta; Magnoliopsida; Asterales; Asteraceae.
AACGAUCAGAAACCCAGGGACGAACUCUCCUUCUUUCAAAACCCUAACUCCUCUAAAUUCACUCAAAAUCCAAGAAAUAAAACCCAAUUGAAGGUGAAUCAAGGCUGAAUUUGUGAUCCUCAUACUUAGUAGGUCACAAGGUGAUUUAGGUGGAUCAUCAAGUGGACAAGGCGGGUCGGAUAACCGCUUAAAAGGAAAGCUUUGAAAAGGUACGCGGCUAUUCGCUUCGUAAUAUCUGGUUUUAGUACUUUUAUGCUUAGUGAUGGUAGCGAAUUGCGGAUGAUGAUCAAGUACCCGAAAGGAUCGAACACACAAAUAUCAAAGCUUCCGCAAUUAUAAUAGUCCUUUUGAAACGAAACUUAUGUGUAAUAAGUAGAAGUAGUUUUGUUGAAAAUAUUUAAAAUCCAUGUAAAUUAUCGUUUUGUGGAUAUUUG